Non-coding RNA from Caenorhabditis elegans, 131 nucleotides. Lineage: Eukaryota; Metazoa; Nematoda; Chromadorea; Rhabditida; Rhabditidae. The record is from Ensembl.
AAAGUCGUUGGUGUAUGUGAGUCGGUCUUUCUGUGCAAAAUGUGAGCUUCUUCAGCUUCUUCAUAUCCUUCAGAAUACUUGCUUCUUUUGAAGAGGCCAAAACCGGCGGCAGUGUCAGCGGCGACGAAAAA